AUGGUUGAGCUGUUGUUCGGCCCUGCCGAGGCCGGCCUCGUCCACCUGCCGGAGGUACUCGACUGCCUCGCAACCAGGGACGCCGACCACCGAGACCACGCCCACCACCAUGCCGCACACAGGCUAGGGCACGGUCAAUAUCACCAUUGCAGUGGCGGUCGUGGCGCACUCAUGGAUAUCGUGGAGACUCCCGGCAACUAUGCCUUCCUUCUAGACGUCCCCGGGAUUUCCAAGUACGACAUCAAGCUGUGACUGAUGGGCGACAACGUGCUGGUGAUGAAGAGCGCCAAUGGGAAGCGAAAGAAGCGGAAGCAGGAGGAGGAGGAGGAGGGGGACUGCCGCUACAUCUGGCUGGAGUGCUGCACGUCGCCGAGUUUGUUCAUACGCAAUUUCCGGCUGCCGUAGGACCCGGAUGCGGGUGCCAUGGCCACGCGCUGCAAGAACGACGUGCUCACCGUCACCAUGAAGAAGCAGCCGCCACCCGAGAAGAAGACCAAGUCCGUCCAGGUGGCCAUCGCCUGA
RNAcentral lists this ribosomal RNA (522 nucleotides) under Triticum aestivum (bread wheat). RNAcentral describes it as "partial small subunit ribosomal RNA". Lineage: Eukaryota; Viridiplantae; Streptophyta; Magnoliopsida; Poales; Poaceae. The record is from RNAcentral.